AUGGCGCUCGCAGCGACGCCACGCCAGCGGUCGGCGCCGGCCGUGCUGGUCGCGGCGGCGCUGCUCUCGCUUUCACUCUCACUCUCAUGCGCGCAGGCGCAGGCGCCGCACGUGGCGGUGCCACCCUCGGCUCCCCCGAAGGCGGCGGCGCCGGGCCCGGCCGCGGGGCUGAGCGCGGCGUGCCUCAACUCGCUGCUCAACAUGACGGACUGCCUGCCGUACGUGCAGGCCGGGAGCAAGGCGCGGGCGCCGGACAAGCCGUGCUGCCCGGAGCUGGCCGGCAUGGUGGGCUCCAACCCCGUCUGCCUCUGCGAGCUCCUCUCCGGGGCCGCCGACUCCCUCGGCAUCGCCGUCGACUACGCCCGCGCGCUCGCGCUCCCCGGCGUCUGCCGCGUCGCCACCCCGCCGCUCAGCACCUGCGCAGGUAGUAAUAAACUAACUCGAGCCCUUCCGCUGCAGGUUGCCGCUGGAUUUGCUGCUCUACGAGUCUCUAUUGAGGUGGAUUUGAUCUGUGUGGAUAUUAUUCUCGCAGCAAUGGGAUACAAUGUUCGUCUGGGCCCAUCUCCGGCGCCCGCGCCGGGAUCUCCCUCGCCCAUGUCGCCCGGCGACAGCCCGCAGUACCCUGCUGGUCCUUCGCCGUUCGCCUCGCCGCCGGCGUCGCCGAAGCCCAGCCACGCCGCGCGCAGCAUCCACGCCGCCGGCGUUCUCGUCGCCCUCGCCGCCUCCUUCGCCGUCGGGAUCGUGUUCUUCUAA
Molecule: ribosomal RNA, 753 nt
Filed under: Triticum aestivum (bread wheat)
Lineage: Eukaryota; Viridiplantae; Streptophyta; Magnoliopsida; Poales; Poaceae
Description: partial small subunit ribosomal RNA
Source: RNAcentral